UGGGGAAUAUUAGGCAAUGGGGGAAACCCUGACCUAGCCAUGCCGCGUGCGUGAAGAAGGUCUUAGGAUUGUAAAGCGCUUUCAGCGGGGGAAGAUGAUGACGGUACCCGCAGAAGAAGCCCCGGCUAACUCCGUGCCAGCAGCCGCGGUAAUACGGAGGGGGCUAGCGUUGUUCGGAAUUACUGGGCGUAAAGGGCGUGUAGGCGGCCAAUUAAGUCAGAGGUGAAAUCCCCGAGCUCAACUUGGGAACUGCCUUUGAUACUGGUUGGCUAGAGUUCGGGAGAGGGUAGUGGAAUUCCCAGUGUAGAGGUGAAAUUCGUAGAUAUUGGGAAGAACACCAGUGGCGAAGGCGGCUACCUGGACCGAUACUGACGCUGAGGCGCGAAAGCGUGGGGAAGCAAACAGGAUUAGAUACCCUGGUAGUCCACGCCGUAAACGAUGUCUGCUAGUCGUUGGGGGAGCAUAGCUCUUCGGUGACGCAGCUAACGCAUUAAGCAGACCGCCUGGGGAGUACGGCCGCAAGGUUAAAACUCAAAUGAAUUGACGG
RNAcentral lists this ribosomal RNA (547 nucleotides) under uncultured bacterium. Its description in RNAcentral is "bacterial SSU rRNA". It matches the Rfam family "Bacterial small subunit ribosomal RNA", at positions 355 to 916 of the family's 1533-position model. The record is from RNAcentral.